RNAcentral lists this unclassified non-coding RNA (580 nucleotides) under Hevea brasiliensis (rubber tree). Lineage: Eukaryota; Viridiplantae; Streptophyta; Magnoliopsida; Malpighiales; Euphorbiaceae. The record is from RNAcentral.
AGACUGACCACCUGCCUGGGGUUGACCAUCAUCAGUCCACCUACCAUCACCAGGCCUCCGGCCUGGAACGUGUAGAGACUCCAGACCAACAGAAAAGUCAGCCAAAGGUGGGGGUGCUGCACCAGUGAGUCUAUCACUGAAAAUGCUAGGCGGCACACUAUCAAAUGGGAGUACUGGAGAAUCAAAAGUGUAGAACCGAGCUACAUCCAGCCUACCAGCAGAUAAGGUUUCUGAGUCUCUGGAUGAGUUCCCAAGAGAUGACCAGACAGGAGCAGAGUCACCAGGCUGUGAUGGCCUCAAGAGGAGAGGAUGUUGCAGACCAGUAACUUCAGUAACAGAUUGUUCCAAAUUCCUAGUUGUUUGGCGACGGCGCUCAAAGCCAAAAGUCCUGCGAAGACCAAAGAGGUCAUCAACGUUCCACCCUUCAAUUGUUUCACCUCCAACAUUAAUAAGGCUACCACUUGUUCCAGAUUGCCCUAAAACUUGUAAAUGGUCAAGGCCGUCCAGGGCUUCCCUCCACCUAACCUCAAUAACUCGAUUUUCAUGAAACUCAUCAUCCUCUUCAUCAACCAUGUCAUCA